UUCCGGAGCACCGACAAAAG
This 20-nucleotide small nuclear RNA is filed under the name Arabidopsis thaliana (thale cress). RNAcentral's name for it is "snRNA_04726". The record is from RNAcentral. Lineage: Eukaryota; Viridiplantae; Streptophyta; Magnoliopsida; Brassicales; Brassicaceae.